This 397-nucleotide ribosomal RNA is filed under the name uncultured bacterium. Its description in RNAcentral is "partial 16S ribosomal RNA". It matches the Rfam family "Bacterial small subunit ribosomal RNA", at positions 523 to 918 of the family's 1533-position model. The record is from RNAcentral.
AUACGUAGGGGGCGAGCGUUGUCCGGAAUGAUUGGGCGUAAAGGGCGCGUAGGCGGCCCGGUAAGUCUGGAGUGAAAGUCCUGUUUUUAAGAUGGGACUUGCUUUGGAUACUGUCGGCCUUGAGUGCAGGAGAGGUAAGGGGAAUUCCCAGUGUAGCGGUGAAAUGCGUAGAGAUUGGGGGGAACACCAGUGGCGAAGGCGACUUACUGGACUGUAACUGACGCUGAGGCGCGAAAGUGUGGGGAGCAAACAGGAUUAGAUACCCUGGUAGUCCACACUGUAAACGAUGAAUGCUAGGUGUAGGGGGUAUCGACCCCUUCUGUGCCGCAGUCAACACAAUAAGCAUUCCGCCUGGGGAGUACGGCCGCAAGGUUGAAACUCAAAUGAAUUGACGGGG